Molecule: ribosomal RNA, 253 nt
Filed under: uncultured bacterium
Lineage: Bacteria
Description: partial 16S ribosomal RNA
Rfam family: Bacterial small subunit ribosomal RNA
Source: RNAcentral
UACAGAGGGUGCAAGCGUUGUUCGGAAUUAUUGGGCGUAAAGGGCUCGUAGGCGGUCUGUCGCGUCGGGAGUGAAAACUCAGGGCUUAACCCUGAGCCUGCUUCCGAUACGGGCAGACUAGAGGUAUGCAGGGGAGAACGGAAUUCCUGGUGUAGCGGUGAAAUGCGCAGAUAUCAGGAGGAACACCGGUGGCGAAGGCGGUUCUCUGGGCAUUACCUGACGCUGAGGAGCGAAAGUGUGGGGAGCGAACAGG